Molecule: long non-coding RNA, 584 nt
Filed under: Bos taurus (domestic cattle)
Lineage: Eukaryota; Metazoa; Chordata; Mammalia; Artiodactyla; Bovidae
Description: long non-coding RNA NONBTAT006600
Source: RNAcentral
AAGCUAUGGCAUGCUUCUAACACAAAAAACUGACUCAGUUUAACUGAAAACAUUAACAAUUAAAUCUGUUCCACUUGAAAAUCAUUAAACAUUUAGGGAAAAACUUGCAUAAAAUCCUAGCUAAUCUAUUAUUACCAAAUCUGUGAAUCUAGCCAAUUUCUUCAAGAAAUAGGCCACUCUAAACGUCAAUUAGCGUAAUUUGAGUAGCAUCAAGCUUGAGCUGAACUGAUAACAAGAUAGUAACUUCAACUUCUGGAGAUUGGUUUUUUAAAUUUGAUUUUAAAUGCAGUUUCCUUACUUUGAUACUUGGAUGGAAGAAAAUUCAACAUACACAUAUUGCUUUUGAAUGUAAAAUAAAUUUCCAAGUAGUUUUCUUUUUGUUUUCUGAAAUGGUAAAAACACAGAGAAUAAAUGUAGGAUUUAAUUUUCGAGCUUCACUGACUAUAUGAUAUGUACGAAAUUUUACUUUUUUACUGAAUUAGGUCCAUGUACUUCAGUGAAAGAAAGCUUUGACUCAAACAUUAAAAGCUUUCUGUGCAAAACUACCAGUCUGAAAUUAUAAUUUUGCUGUUUGCUAUUCCAUU